AGGUUGUCCCAAGUGC
This 16-nucleotide non-coding RNA is filed under the name Gossypium hirsutum (cotton). The record is from RNAcentral. Lineage: Eukaryota; Viridiplantae; Streptophyta; Magnoliopsida; Malvales; Malvaceae.